Molecule: non-coding RNA, 5660 nt
Organism: Phoenix dactylifera (date palm)
Lineage: Eukaryota; Viridiplantae; Streptophyta; Magnoliopsida; Arecales; Arecaceae
Source: RefSeq, a predicted model, not a curated record
UAUUCAAAUCGGGCGAAAGGAUAAACUUUAUUUUCCAGACGUGACUUCCACAAACAACUAUUUCAGAUUGUCCAAACCUGUUACCCGACCGAAGCGCCAAGAUUUGGGCAUGGGUCUACAAGCCUAUUAAAAUCCCAACCGCGAUCAAAAAGCUCUCCUUUAUUUUUUCAGGCGACGCCUCUCCUCGCCCCCACUCGCCUCCUUUUUCCUGCAAUCAGAUGGAAGCUGACGUGGAUGAACUAUGGCGGAAAAAAUACUUGCCACCAAGAGAGCUGCACAUGUCGAUCCCCUUCAGUCGAAGGACGUCCUUCCGUUCCCUUCUCAACUUCACUCUAUCAUUUUCACCAUCCCUUUUGAUCAAAUUUGUCCCUACAGUAUAUGAUUGGUAGAAAUAGAGGUUUCGAUCCAAUCUCCAAACCCGAUUUGCUUCAAAGAUUAUUCCAAUUCAUCAGGGAUAGCAAGCAUUCGAAUUAUUAAAAUUCUAACGAUAGGCCACAAUAAUCCGACCUUUUCUUGAUGUUUGAUUUGUAUUUUACAUGCAUUUCCAUGAAUCACAGCAAAAUACUAUUCUUCAUGAUUUAUGUUAGUGAUUUUUCCAAAUUAUGGUUUCUAAAAUUGGGAUUUUUUUAUCCUCAUGUUUCUACUAUGUUCACGGCGCUCCAUGAGUUAUGUAUGUGUUGAUUUUACUUAUUUUGCAUGCAAUUUGAUUGCCAUUGCCAAGUGUUUAUUGCAUUAAAGGAAUUGUAGAAUGUUGAAUUAGCAAGCACUGUGGGCACUGUGGGUUCUGCGGGCGCUGUUAAUUCAUAUAAUAUUGAUUUAAUGUUUUGCCCACACACAAAAACAAUUGUUUAUCCCAUUCCUUGGCAUAUGAUUCACAAGGGCUGUUUGAUUGCCUCUCCGUAAUGCUACUUAUGUCCAAACCAUCUCAAAUAGUUCUACAUAUCUAUCAGAACUAUUUUACAGUGGAUUCAAUCACCUGGCUAAAACCAACACAAAUCUAAUCAGGUCUUCUUGUCCUAAAUCUCUUUUAUAGGGGAUGCAAUCACCUAGCUCUCCAUUUAUUAGAACAUUUGUCUUGCAGUUUGAAGGCAUGAUCAAAUCCAAGUCACCCAUCUUUCACUCAAUUUGUUAGAAGGUCUAGCAAAUAGUCCAACUCACCAUAUUGAAUCUUUCUCAAACUCCAACAUGAACACAAAGGUCUCAACCCUUAAAAGCAUUAAGAGCUGAUCUUUCUCAAGAUCAACAUCAUCUUUAAAAACAUGCCGGUUUCCCAUAAAAACCAGUAGAGAGAAACUGUCAGGGCCAGGGUCCUUCUGCCCUAGCAACCCCAUUAUGGCAUCUUUAACCUUCCCUCUAACAUAUGUAAUUGUUGAGGUGAGACAAGAAGCUCAUGAGAGUUUUUUUCUGGAAUUCUUGUUGAACUAUUUUUCUAGCACUUGAUUUUUAUUGCACCAAUAUCUUCUAACUUCUCUUGUUAUUUUGCAAGGUUUGAAAGAGGCUUUUGAUAGUAUGAUUCCUGCAGCAGAACAGAGAAUAUGCAUGCGGCAUGUGUAUACCAACUUCAGGGAUAAGAGGUGUCACGCCUCGAACCCCGCACUCGGGUCCGGUACUCGACCAACCGCAUGAGCCCUAGAGCAAUAUCCUAAAGAUCAUACAAGGCCUAAGACGAACAAAAAUCCGAUAAUUCCAUAAUUAAUUAAUUAAUUCAAAUAGAUAAAUCCAACAUAUUCAAAUAAUCAAAUUGCUUCGAUUACAAGAGCAUUCAAUGUUCAUCGGUAUCAACAUAAACUAACUAACUAGCUGAUGACUCUGUCACUCGCUCUCUGCACCCAUUCCAUCCAUGUCUAUACAUCCUGUAGCUCUGAAAAAGAGAGAAAAGAGGUGGUGAGCUUUACAGCCCAGUAAGAAUUUUCACACAUCCACACCAACUCAAUAAUAAUAAAAGCUUGAAAACGUUGCAUACAUUAUAAAAUCGCAAAUCGAUUAGCAAUAAUACUCGAAUGCAAAGCAAGUAAUGAUAUCCAACUUGCCAUCUACAGUUGCUCUGGCUUUCUUCCUGUGACUAAAUUUGGAAAUCAGAAUGGAAACCCAGAACUCAAAUUGGUCACCAGUGUAUUAAUGCAGAAUAAAAAUUCCUGAAGUGCGAACAUAAUAUAUUAUUUAACAUUUUGAAUCUAAAGAUGGACUGCACUAACUAGUGUUGUGUCCUUGCUUUUGCAAGUGCAUAGCAUAACAGACUCAGCAAUGAAAGGUGAGCAGUGAAACUGAGACCAUAUUCCAUGAAUCCUGAAGUUAGAUGUUCAAAUCUUCUUGUCUUUAUUUUUUAUCUUUAUUAAUUUUUGUUAUAAAAUUUUGACAUUAUUCUUCCACAUGUGGCAUCUUUAGUAACCAAAUUCGUUAUGAAGUCUUCAGAGCUAAAACUAGAAUGGAUCUGGUGGACUACAUAUUGUAAUUGUUUAUUUCACUUCAGAGUGUUUUGGAUGCAACUUGCUUUUCGGAUGAUGUUAUGCACUCAUUCCACAAUCCACCAUCAUUUGCCCAUCAAAGCUGUAUUAGUGACUUUAGUAUUAAGACCCUUCUAACCUCUGUUUUGCAUUAUCUAUCCCAGCACUCCCUUCAACUGACAUUUCCUUCUAUUUUUGAUCAGUUCUACUUACCGCCAAUUUAGUUAAAAGAAAGAGAGCCAUUUAUUGGUUGAAACAGCAGAUAAACCUGAACCAUGAAACAGAGUAAACCUUCUCAACUAUAGCAAUCUGCCUUCCAAAGUACUAAAUUCAAUACGUUGCAUCAGUAAGAGAAAACCUGUUUCAUCAAGACAACUUCGACAAACAUGUCUGCUCCUUAAAUUGGUAAAUUAUGUGGUGAUUACUUCCAAUAAUUCUUCAGAUACAAAAGGGUGUCUCCAAAGGACCAAAUCAAUAUAGAACUAAGUAAUGAUAAGGACUGGUGCCCCAGCUCUUUCAUUCCUUUCUCAACUGAUAUUCUUUCUUGAGUUUGAGGCUUUGAAUUAAAUAAAAAUGCCUAUACCUUUAGAUAAACAAUUUCCGGUUUGUUAAGCUUGAAUAGUUGUUUAUUGAGUGCUACUAAGUAAGCCAUCACUUCUUAAGUGAUUUCUUCAUGUUGAUUGUAACCCUUGGCUGCCUUAAAGCAUGCUUUUAAUGAUAAGAGUCAAUUUAGUGCUUGUAAACCCACUUACAUAUGUUACUGCUUUUAUUAGGUGAUGCUCAAAAUAGCAUCAUUUGAUAUCAGCACUUCACGUGAAAGUUUGUUGCUAUUUUCUUGCUGUAUUUUAAAUAUAUAUUUAAAUAAAAAACUAAAUAGAGUCAUUAUUUUGCUGUUACAAGAGCCAACAAGAACCAUCACAGAAAGAAUUAAGUGAUUCAAUGAAAUGGUUGGUUAUGCAUUCUCACUGUUAUUCUCAACAAAAAAUGUAAUUCAUAAAGUAGGCUUCCAAAACUUCUUUCUUUGCUUUGUAACUGCUUGUUACAACAUUGUAACCACAGAUAUUGCAUUUUGGUCAUAGCAUUUGAUGGUCAUAAUGUUUCACUGUGAUCAUGCUUCUAACUUAUCUGUAGACUUCAUCCACCAUAAAUUUGGACAUGUUGGUUAAGAAAUUUGUAGCAGGUAGCAGUACGUGACUAGCAAGCAGAUGAUUAGUUGAAAAGCCAACAUGCAAACAAGUACUUGAGUUAUGAGGCAAGCACAUUAAGUUCUUCUGGCUACUUUUGAACCAACAAGUAACCUUUUAUGAUAUUUGGUUGACAGGUAAUAGUUUUGCUUCUACUGCAAACAAAAGUUUAGGAAACAUCAAGAGUUAACUAUGCAGAAGAGCGAAGUCAUUUGCAUACCAUUGUCAUAUUUCAUUAUUUUGGACUUCAAAUGAUUACAGAUAAUUAACAUAUUCCCAUGGAUAUAUAGGUUCGAGAUUAUACCUAACUCUUUAAAAAAGAGAAUAUGCAUCAAUAGUAGAACUCUUGGUGUUAUAAAUCUGAUAAUAUGGUGAACCAUUUUUUUUCUAACUAAUGAGGUUAUGUUACAAUUUUAUGUAAGAAAAAGCUACUUAAAGACUAAUUUAAAUUGAAAUUAAAUAAGAUCAACAGUGAUGGCAGCCCUUGGUUUAAGAUAAUGUGACACAAAGCCAUUAUUUAGCAUAUAUUGCUGAUGGUGAAAGGCAAGUUCUGUCAAUUGUUUUAGGUAAAUUCUGAAGUAGAGCAUGAAUUGUACGUGUUACUAUCCCGACUAAAUAUAUUUCUAUGCAUCUCUGCAUGGUACAAGGGUGGUUGGGUGUACUCAUAUAAGUACUUGCAGAGAAGCAAGAGCUCAGUUUAAGAAUUUUUUUUAUUCUUUUGUGCACUUGGACUCAUAUUUUACUAGAAGACAUGCCUUUCAGUCAUGAUCGAACUUUCCUUCCAGUAGCUUGUUUUACCCAUGAUGAAUAUUCUUACUGAGGCACUUGGCUAAAGAGAAUUCAUGAGCAUUUGUCACCAACUUAAGAUAGCAGUUUCAUUAAUUGUUCUUUCUAUGUUAUUUAGGCGGUUCUUGUAUUGUUGCUUCUCAAAAUUUACAUUAUGGUGUUGAUGCUUACAGAGAACAGCAGCUUUAGUACGAUCUCUUAGUCAGAAAUGAUUGGCAGAAGCUGAUAAAAAGAGGGGUAAACACACUGAAUGAGCCCCGGUAUCAGUUGUGCUAUGUUGAUCCUGGGGUUGCCCAUGGAGAAGAGAUGGAGCAGCUCAAGACUGUGGAUAGCAUAUUAAUUAAGUUCUACAAGAAAGAUUUCAGAGAAGAUGAAUCUAGGAAUCCAUCUAAGGUCUAACACUGUAUCUGUACCUUUGCUGGGCAUGAGUUUAUAGAUCAAAAUUCUCUGAGAGCAUAUAGUGCCUUAUUGGGGAAAAAGCUAAGGAUGUUGUAGAGAUGUUUCCAGAUUAUGUAGGUUGCAGCAAACCUUUGAUUGGAUCAUAGAACCGUUGAAUUAAGGAAAUCACAGUGCUUUUCCCACAUCCGCUGGUACCCACUAAAGCGACCACUCUGCCUGCUGGUAUGGACAGUGAAAAGCCUUGAAGGAUAAGCUUAUCCUCGCGCGACGGCUUUUGCCCGAUUAAAGAUCUCAAGGUCAGGUGCAGCAUAAGUGAUUGAUCUGCAUUUCAAUAAGAAAACCAAAGCUCUUAGUUUUUGGAAACUACAUAGUCAUGAUUAUGUCAAAGAUGGAAAAAUAAUCUUUUAGAAUAUUUACAUUGCUCCAAAGAGAAUGCUCAUUACAGCUGCUAGUGUCUCUCCUCCAUUAGCUUUUUUUGCGGUUACUGCUACUGCUCCCACCCAAACAACCAAGGCCCAUGAGCCGAAUGUUACUGCUUGGAAUGAUCCCAGUCCCAGUCCUUUUAUUAGUGCUUCUUUCUUGCUCAAGAUGUGUUGCUUCUCCAUGCACUGAGUGAAGGACUUUAUUGCUUCCAUCUCCCCAACAAAGGAAAAGACAGUUUUGAUAUGGGAUACAGUCUGCAGAUAAAUACACAGUGCAUUGUAUUAGAAAAGUUCAUGAUUGUUGCAAAACUGAUUUUACCUAUCAUCUUUUCUCUGUGAUCUAAAACAUAUGCUAUCAUUUUUUUUCCAUCAUGUAGGCUUUGAAUUUCUUUUGAGAAAAAUAAAUAAGUUUCGGAUCUCUUUCC